GGUUGCGUGGCCUAAUGGUAAGGCGCUUGAUUUCGGUUGGAAGAUCAACUUCUUCCCAGCUAAUCUCAAGAGAUUGCGUGUUCGAAUCGCGCCGCAAUCG
This is a non-coding RNA of Myotisia sp. PD_48, 100 nucleotides long. NCBI's taxonomy places the organism in Eukaryota, Fungi, Ascomycota, Eurotiomycetes, Onygenales. The record is from the annotation of a GenBank genome assembly.